This 433-nucleotide ribosomal RNA is filed under the name uncultured bacterium. RNAcentral's name for it is "partial 16S ribosomal RNA". It matches the Rfam family "Bacterial small subunit ribosomal RNA", at positions 29 to 507 of the family's 1533-position model. The record is from RNAcentral.
AACGAACGCUGGCGGCAUGCCUAACACAUGCAAGUCGAACGAGACCUUCGGGUCUAGUGGCGCACGGGUGCGUAACGCGUGGGAACCUGCCCUUAGGUUCGGAAUAACUCCCCGAAAGGGGUGCUAAUACCGGAUAAUGUCUUCGGACCAAAGAUUUAUCGCCUUUGGAUGUGCCCGCGUUGGAUUAGCUAGUUGGUAGGGUAAAAGCCUACCAAGGCGACGAUCCAUAGCUGGUCUGAGAGGAUGAUCAGCCACACUGGGACUGAGACACGGCCCAGACUCCUACGGGAGGCAGCAGUGGGGAAUAGUGGACAAUGGGCGAAAGCCUGAUCCAGCAAUGACGCGUGAGUGAUGAAGGCCUUAGGGUUGUAAAGCUCUUUUACCCGGGAUGAUAAUGACAGUACCGGGAGAAUAAGCUCCGGCUAACUCCGUG